GACGAACGCUGGCGGCGUGCUUAACACAUGCAAGUCGAACGGAAAGGCCCUGCUUUUGUGGGGUGCUCGAGUGGCGAACGGGUGAGUAACACGUGAGUAACCUGCCCUUGACUUUGGGAUAACUUCAGGAAACUGGGGCUAAUACCGGAUAGGAGCUCCUGCUGCAUGGUGGGGGUUGGAAAGUUUCGGCGGUUGGGGAUGGACUCGCGGCUUAUCAGCUUGUUGGUGGGGUAGUGGCUUACCAAGGCUUUGACGGGUAGCCGGCCUGAGAGGGUGACCGGCCACAUUGGGACUGAGAUACGGCCCAGACUCCUACGGGAGGCAGCAGUGGGGAAUAUUGCACAAUGGGCGGAAGCCUGAUGCAGCAACGCCGCGUGCGGGAUGACGGCCUUCGGGUUGUAAACCGCUUUCGCCUGUGACGAAGCGUGAGUGACGGUAAUGGGUAAAGAAGCACCGGCUAACUACGUGCCAGCAGCCGCAGUGAUACGUAGGGUGCGAGCGUUGUCCGGAUUUAUUGGGCGUAAAGGGCUCGUAGGUGGUUGAUCGCGUCGGAAGUGUAAUCUUGGGGCUUAACCCUGAGCGUGCUUUCGAUACGGGUUGACUUGAGGAAGGUAGGGGAGAAUGGAAUUCCUGGUGGAGCGGUGGAAUGCGCAGAUAUCAGGAGGAACACCAGUGGCGAAGGCGGUUCUCUGGGCCUUUCCUGACGCUGAGGAGCGAAAGCGUGGGGAGCGAACAGGCUUAGAUACCCUGGUAGUCCACGCUGUAAACGGUGGGUACUAGGUGUGGGGUCCAUUCCACGGGUUCCGUGCCGUAGCUAACGCUUUAAGUACCCCGCCUGGGGAGUACGGCCGCAAGGCUAAAACUCAAAGGAAUUGACGGGGCCCCGCACAAGCGGCGGAGCAUGCGGAUUAAUUCGAUGCAACGCGUAGAACCUUACCUGGGUUUGACAUGGAUCGGGAGUGCUCAGAGAUGGGUGUGCCUCUUUUGGGGUCGGUUCACAGGUGGUGCAUGGCUGUCGUCAGCUCGUGUCGUGAAAUGUUGGGUUAAGUCCCGCAACGAGCGCAACCCUUGUUCACUGUUGCCAGCACGUUAUGGUGGGGACUCAGUGGAGACCGCCGGGGUCAACUCGGAGGAAGGUGGGGAUGACGUCAAGUCAUCAUGCCCCUUAUGUCCAGGGCUUCACGCAUGCUACAAUGGCUGGUACAGAGAGUGGCGAGCCUGUGAGGGUGAGCGAAUCUCGGAAAGCCGGUCUCAGUUCGGAUUGGGGUCUGCAACUCGACCUCAUGAAGUCGGAGUCGCUAGUAAUCGCAGAUCAGCAACGCUGCGGUGAAUACGUUCCCGGGGCU
RNAcentral lists this ribosomal RNA (1346 nucleotides) under uncultured bacterium. Its description in RNAcentral is "partial 16S ribosomal RNA". It matches the Rfam family "Bacterial small subunit ribosomal RNA", at positions 28 to 1381 of the family's 1533-position model. The record is from RNAcentral.